RNAcentral lists this long non-coding RNA (4838 nucleotides) under Homo sapiens (human). RNAcentral describes it as "novel transcript". The record is from RNAcentral. Lineage: Eukaryota; Metazoa; Chordata; Mammalia; Primates; Hominidae.
GUCUGGAGCUCUUAGAGACAAGAUAAACAGCGAUGUCUGGUUCUGCUCAGAGGAGGCUUUCUUAAGUGAGAGGCACAGUUGGAUCAGCAGACUCAGCUGAGUGUGACCUGCUCUGUUCCCUCCCUGCUGACCUGGGACAGUCGCUACCAGGCAGUGCUGGCCUCUGGGCGGGUGCCGAGGAGGGUCAUCCCUGAGCACUCACCAGGUGAGAUGUCUAGGGUCAGAGAGGCAGCGACUGGUCCAGAGACCCAGAUGUGACCCUGGGCCAUGCUCUUAGCCCUGCCCUGUGCUACGCUGGACUCAAGCCCUGACCUCUGUGGCCUCCCUGCCCUGGAUUCCAAAUCCAUCCGGGGUUCCAGCCCCUGAUGGGGCAGAGUCUGGCCCUGGAAGAGCCACUGGGACAGAGAUCCUAUGGGUGAGGUGGAGGGGGUGGUCCUCAGUCCAAGUCUGUGCCCUAAGCUGGGACCCCGCGGGAGGUCUCACCAACUCAGACUUCACAUGUGGUCACUGAGGGUCAUUGUGGGACCCACUGGACACAGGGGGUCCCUUGUCUGGGAGUGGGGUGAAGAGCCUUCUGCCCUUGGGCAGUUAGGUAGGGGACUUUGAGCACUGCUGCUUUGGGACCUGGGAAGUGGGGACCUGGGCAGCGGGGUCCUCGUCAUUGAGAACAUGGUCAGUGAGAGAUUUGGUCAUCAUGGGUUGGGUCAGGGGGGCCUGGUCAGCAGAGACUUGGACACUGGGGCUUAGUGAAAAUAUGAUCAGUGGGGAAAUAGUCACGGGGCCUGCUCAGUAGGGCCUGGCUAGCAGAGGCCUGGCCAGCUGGCCACUGGAUGACCUGACAGGGGGUUUGUCCUUGGAGCCUCUUUGCCUCUAUUCAUAGUGGGGAUGAGUCAUAGCAUCCCUCAGCACUCGCCAGGUGCAGGUUUUGUGCUGACCUUGUAGAUGGCCUUUUCCUUCAUCCCCACAGCAACUCCAUGGGGCGGAUCCUGUCCCCGAAUGUAGCCAUUCCACAGGUGAGAUGUCUAGAGUCAGAGAGGUGAUGACUGGCCCAGAGACCCAGAUGUGGCCUGGGCCGUGCACUCAGCCCUGCCCUGUGCAGUGCUAGACUCAAGCCCUGACCUUUGCAGCCUCCCUGCCUUAGAUCCCACAUUUCCCUGGGGUUCUGGACCCUGAUGGGGUGGAGGGGGUGAUUCUCAGUCCAAGUCUGUGCCCAAAGCUUGGUCCCCACAGGAGGAGGUCUCAUCAACUCAGACUUCAGGUGCGGUCACUGAUGGUUGCUGUGGGACCCACUGGACACAUGGAGUCCUUCGUCUGGGAGUGGGGUGGGGAGGCCUCUGCCCUCGGGCAGUUGUGGAAAAUGAAGGAGCUCUAGAGGGCUGCCUGGAGGGUGAUGAUCGUCCCUCUUGGUCAAAGGGGCUUGGGGACUGGAACCUUCUCUGUCUGAUUCUCUAGAGGUCUUGUCUUCCCUUUGUCCCAAGUAUUCCCAAGGAAGAUGGUCCCCCUGGGUGUUCUCCAGGACCAAGUCCCCAGAAUUCUCUUGUUUUUUCCUUGGUGAUCCAGGAAAACGAAGCCCCCUCCUGUAUUGACAGCUGGGAAUUGUGGAGUCCACCGUCCUCCACCUGAGACGAGCACAGGGUCUCCACGAGGACAGAGGCUGCUUUGGACUCAAUAGAAAACUGGGCAUCUUCAUGGUCCUAGAAGGAUCCCAGGAGGCUGAUCCUAUAGAGACGUCUGGUUCCUGACCCCAACUGCCUCCAGGUGCCUGGAACAGCCCAUCGUGGGCCCUUUACCCUCAGCAGGUGGACGCCGUUGGUCCUGCCAGGGAUGGAGAUGGAUGAGCACCCGGAUAUCCUGCCCACCCAGGGGCAAGGCAACAUCAUCAUUACUAAGUAUGAGCAGGGACGCUGAGCUGGGGCAGCAGUGGACACAGAGCAUGAGCGUGUUGACAUCUGGAAAUUCACCAGUCGUCUCUGGGUUGUGUGUGAGACAGAGCUGCCCGUGUCAGUGCCCUGGAGGUGAAGGGAAGAGCCUGUGCCUGCUGCGUGGGAGACUGGUCCAGGGACAGGGAAUCAGGAGUGGUUGGGCCCCAAAGCCCAGGACCCAGCAUCCAUGGGCCGCUGCCGGAGGCCUGGCAGCUCCGCUAACUCCAUCAUGGCUCAUUUGACAGCAAAGGUGUCAGGAAAUAAAAUGUACUGACAAGUGGCUGAAGAUGCUUGGAGACUGGCCAAAAUAUAAGAACAGCAAGAAGGUGACAUGGCGGUUGGGCCUGGUAGCUCAGGCCUGUAACCCCAGCACUUCGGGAGGCUGAGGUGGGCGGAUCACCUGAGGUCAGGAGUUCGAGACCAUCCUGGCCAACAUGGCGAAACCCCGUCUCUACUAAACAUGCAAAAAUUAGCUGGGCACGGUGGCGGGCACCUGUAAUCCCAGCUACUCAGGAGGCUGAGGCACGAGAAUUGCUUGAACCCAGGCAGUGGAGGUUGCAGUGAGCCAAGAUCGCACCACUGAACUCCAGCCUGGGCGACAAGAGGGAGACUUCAUCUCAAAAGGAAAAGAAGCUGUCUCGAAGCAGGUACAAAGGCAUUCCCCUGGUGUGAGGCCAGGCGUGGGCACUUCUGCUAGACAUUGACAAAGUCAAGUCCCAGAACCCAGGAAAUACAAGGAGGUGGGCUACCACAGGGACCUGAGCCGCAACACUGCCGUCCUCCUUUAUCUGCCGGAGGAAGAUGCUUUCUGGGUGGCUGGCUCAGCUGCUGGCCGGUGAGAGGCACUCCCUGCAGGCCCAAAUACUGCCCAGCUCCGGAAGCUCCUAUCACAUCAGGAGCAGGUGCUGCACAAGUCCUUCCCAAAGAUCAUGAGACAGCUGGGCAAGGAAGGGCUAUGCAUUGAGGGUUCCAUGCUGACGAGGCUCCUCCAGUGUUUCCUUGAUGGGCCACCUCACUGCUGAGAUGAGUCCCCCAUGAGGAGCUGCAGGACCUUGUCUGACCGCAGCCUCAUGGAGGGGUCUCAUCCCAUGGAAAGGGGUCCUCAGCACUCCAGAGGACUGAAACCCCAAUGGGUCCUGCUCAGGCCACCAGCCCCAGCCUGGAAAGGCCAGGUCCUCCCACACCUGCUGUCCCCAAAGAAAUCCUUCGGGCUCACCCUGCGACUGUGGGAUGUGCUUAUCUUGGAGGGCGAGCAGGUACUGACAGCCAUGGCGCAUGCAUCAUUCAAAAUACACAGGGAGCACCUCAUGAAGCUUUCCUGGAGCACCGUCUGGGAGUUUCAGGAGCGACUCUCUCAGAGCUGGGCCCUGGAGGACAACUCGGUCCUCAGGAACCUUCAAACCUCUAUGAAGGAACUCACAAAAAAACACUGGGACCUGCCAUCCCCAGGAGAACUCGAGAGAGGGUCCUCGAGGGUGUCUCCUGGCAUUAGGCCCCUCUGUGAGGGGGACAGAUUGGCCCUGCCCAGCCCACCAGCUCAGCUCCAGGGGCUCAUGCCAUCAGCCCCCCAGGACAAAAGCCUUGUCCUCCCCCAGCCUGGCCUGACAGGGUUGUCUCCAUGGCGGAGGCCAAGGCCCAGCAGCACGAAGGGGCUUCCCCAGAACCCAGGGCAGCAGGCUGCUCUCUGGGUGGCCCAGAGGAUCAAGAUGUGGCCACCCUGUUUCCCGGUGAGGUCAGGCCUCGUAUUACAUAAAAAUACCUGUGCUGGGACUCUAUGCCACACCUCCACACAGACCUGGAUGCUGGGAUCCAUGGUUUCCUUACUACAAUUUUGAACAGGGCUACUGGGCCCCUGUCACUUCAACAUGUUACCUGGACAGCCCUGCAACCACACGACGGGCCUGGCCCAGCAAGCCCACUGGGACCCCGACACCAGGCCCUGCCCAGGCUUAUGACAGAGGAGGCAGGUCAGGAGACACCCCAGCAACAAGGCAGCACCUGCCUGCGAUGCCCCUCAGUAGAAGAACGUGGCAUGGAAGGAGCCCAGGUGGCACACGCCCAGCUGCGUCGCAGCCCCAGAUGGCUGCUGGACCUUGGUUCUGGGCCUUGGAAAAUCCCAUUCAGCGGGGCUUGGUCCCAUCAAGGCCUCUGGAGGGAAGGCUAAGCAUAGGGUUCCUGCAGCCCCAGCCAGCCAGCCAGCCAGCAGCAUGCCCUGGGGCCUCUGACCCCACCUGUGAGUCCCAGGCCCAGAGGUCCCUGGCUUCAACUCGAGUCCUAGGAAGAGAGAGGCACCAGAGGCACCACAGGCUCCCAGGGUGACCACAGAGGGGACCAGGGCACUGUGAGCCCUGAUGCUGUAAGGAUUCACAUCAGAGAACCUGGGCAAGACGGGAGACCGUGCAGUAAUGAGGAUGUGGAGGGCUGGCUCAAUGCGGCCAACAGCUGUGAACACUGCUGCCUCUUCCCAGCCUCAUCACUGCAGUGCAGGCAGUCUGAUCUCUGGAGCCCAGCCCAAAAGUGUCCUGAGUGCCCCGGCUUCACAUGCCAAUAUGCCACCUGGAGGCUUCAAGGCCCUGCCUGCUGCACGCCCGCCUCACCAUUGCUGAGCACCCCAUCUGAUGAUGAGAGACUUGCUGUGGAUUCCUGGGCCGGCACCAUUUCCCAGGAGGACCAGCGGGCUGCCUGUGGGCAGGCCGCCCACACUGUGGAGGGGGCUGAGAUCAGCCUUCACUGUAGGAAGCCCCUACCUGGACACAGACUUGCCGGCUCUACCUAUCGCCAUCAUGGCAGCCUACAUGGCAUUACUUGUGACCAGGGUGCCCCAUCCAGGUCGGUCUGCCCUGGCUGCUGUUUUCCCUCCUGCCACCCUCUCUUUGACUGCUUGUGUCAAUAAAAGGAGAACUGGCCAGUUUUCAG